UCAGUCUCCGCUAUCAUUCAGCCUUGUGAAGUCGGCAAACCAAUAAUAUUAUUCCAAAAGUAUUUAUUCAAAAAAAAUAUUGAGUGAUUUUGUGAUUAAUUUUCGGCAAUGAAAUUUGUAUCCAAAACUAAAAUGAUGUUAUUUAAAGAGAACGAUUUCGAUCAUGAAGACGUGGAGCGCGAAGCGGAAAAUAUCCGCGAAAAAAAACGCAGACUGAACGAAAGACUAAGGCUCUGGAAAAUAAAAAGACGGGAGAUAAUGAGAAACUUCCAACGUAGGCUCGGCGCAGCUAUGAAGCUGCAACACAAAUUAAUGGUUACCAUGGAAGAGAUGAAGCAAUAUUUCCUUGUUUUCUUUCCCUGGCUCCUUGGCGCCAGCUUGGCGGAUCUGGCUCAGUUUCAGGAACUGCAAGACACUUUAAACAAUCUAAUGAGGGAUAAUAAUAGGAACAUCUGCAAAAUUGAGAAGACCUUGGAAGAAAUUACACUUCAAAGCGAUGACAAUUUAGGGAUAAACAUAAUAUAAGAUUUCAUGAACAAAUCGUGAGAAUUCGUAAAUAUUGUUUGACACAUCGGGCGGCAUUUUAUGAAAAGAUUGUGGAAUGUAGGAGGCGUCAGAGGCAACCAUUGCCUUUGGAGGCUCUUCCAGAGACAAAGACUGGAGGAUAGAUAGUCAAACAGUUGGCAAUUUAAAUUCCACACCCUUCAAGUCAAAUAAAUAUACUUAUAAUCUACUUGUUUGGAUAUCCAUGCUAGAAACAUUAUCAAACUUCAAAAUGAAUAUAUGAGAGGCCCUUAUAAUUUCUACAAAACACAUUUAGAAACAUACAUAUUAAUAUCAGAAUAUUCUUACAUUCGAAAUGAUCAUGGGAGUGAGUUUGACGGAAUUGCGCCCAAGGGGGUGUGCGUGAACAAUUUAUGCAACUCUCCUGCAAUUUCCGGUAUAUUAAAGCAAUUUCCAACCCACAGGCCGCAGCAUACACACAGGACAUAGGACACUGGACAUAGGCACGACUUAAUGGGGGAAGUCCUGCAUAUGACUGUUCCCUCUGCGCCCGUUUUGGGUGUGACGAAAAAGGACUCCAGGGCAUUUGGAGCAGCCGCCCUCAGUAUACAAUUUUUUGAUGGCCUAACAAAAAUUGAUAUCACAUUUGAAUAUGACGAAGGACAGUCUUAAUGGGUUUACCUUUAAUAUUUUAAUUUUGUAUUUUAACUUACGUCUUUCUGUUUUUUAAAAAAAUAAAAGAUUUGUCACUAAUCAACUAUUUGAAAUGAAA
Molecule: small RNA, 1276 nt
Filed under: Drosophila ananassae
Lineage: Eukaryota; Metazoa; Arthropoda; Insecta; Diptera; Drosophilidae
Description: GF26560
Source: RNAcentral